CCGCGUAUUCUCUGAGGAGGAAAGGGUGGGACCUUAGGGCCACCUGCCAUAAGAUGAGCCCAAGUGGGAUUAGGUAGUUGGUGGGGUAAAGGCCUACCAAGCCUGCGAUCUCUAGCUGGUCUGAGAGGAUGACCAGCCACACUGGAACUGAGACACGGUCCAGACUCCUACGGGAGGCAGCAGUGGGGAAUAUUGCGCAAUGGGGGGAACCCUGACGCAGCCAUGCCGCGUGAAUGAAGAAGGCCUUCGGGUUGUAAAGUUCUUUCGGUAAUGAGGAAGGGAUGUUGUUAAAUAGAUAGCAUCAUUGACGUUAAUUACAGAAGAAGCACCGGCUAACUCCGUGCCAGCAGCCGCGGUAAUACGGAGGGUGCGAGCGUUAAUCGGAAUAACUGGGCGUAAAGGGCACGCAGGCGGACUUUUAAGUGAGAUGUGAAAUCCCCGAGCUUAACUUGGGAACUGCAUUUCAGACUGGGAGUCUAGAGUACUUUAGGGAGGGGUAGAAUUCCACGUGUAGCGGUGAAAUGCGUAGAGAUGUGGAGGAAUACCGAAGGCGAAGGCAGCCCCUUGGGAAUGUACUGACGCUCAUGUGCGAAAGCGUGGGGAGCAAACAGGAUUAGAUACCCUGGUAGUCCACGCUGUAAACGCUGUCGAUUUGGGGAUUGGGCUAUAUGCUUGGUGCCCGAAGCUAACGUGAUAAAUCGACCGCCUG
This 709-nucleotide ribosomal RNA is filed under the name Pasteurella multocida. RNAcentral describes it as "bacterial SSU rRNA". It matches the Rfam family "Bacterial small subunit ribosomal RNA", at positions 169 to 875 of the family's 1533-position model. The record is from RNAcentral. Lineage: Bacteria; Pseudomonadati; Pseudomonadota; Gammaproteobacteria; Pasteurellales; Pasteurellaceae.